Molecule: long non-coding RNA, 723 nt
Organism: Sapajus apella (tufted capuchin)
Lineage: Eukaryota; Metazoa; Chordata; Mammalia; Primates; Cebidae
Exons: 2
Source: RefSeq, a predicted model, not a curated record
ACCAAGCUUUCUAGUUGUCUCCGGGUGCCAAAGGGCCAGAAGAGAAUCUCUGGCCACACUAUUCUCCUUGUUAGCUCUCCCUAGGGCCCCAGAACCUGGUUUCUGCCUCCCACUGUUCCCCUUUCUGGUUUUGUAGGUGACACUUGCUGCUUUGGGUUGGGUUACCUUUAGCAAGGUUUCCCAAAUACCUGUGAGCAGAGUAGGGCUGACUUGGGGUUCAUUAGAAUGUCUCGAGACACAUUCAACCUGCAGAUUCCCCAGCCCCUUUGAGAGCGGUGGUUCUGUACCUUGACUGCACAUUGAUACAGUGGACUUAAAGGGAAUGGUCUUGCCUGAGCCCUCCCAAAAGAUUCCGACUGGGUAGAUCUGCGCUUCUGCCUGGGCAUCAGGAUUUCAGCAAGCUAGGUGGAGGUGGCCUAGGAAUCUGUACUUUGAAGAAACGGUUCCUGCGAUUUUCCUGAGCAGCAAUGUUUGCAGACUUCAGGGUGGACUUCCUUCUCAUUGGUGAAGAGUGCCCAGGAUUUUCCCACCAAGGCGCUUUUGGAGUUAGAAGUUAGAGGGCCACUGAAGACUGGAAAUCAGGUGCCCUGGAGUUUAGAUUUCCAGGUUCCAGAAACCUUCGGGCUCCUGAGACUUUCAUUGUGCGAGAGGCUGGUCCUGUGGGCUUUGAAGGCAAAUAGACAUGGUUGAAAUCCUGACUCUACCCAUUGCUGUGGGAUUUGG